AAGAUCUGCUACACCACCCUGGACAUGCUUGAUCCUGUCUCAAUUCAGAAGCAAGCAAGGCCAGGCCUGCGUUGUACUUAGACGGGCCAGGUUUUCUUGUGGUAGUUGCAAGGGUCAGAACUUG
Molecule: ribosomal RNA, 124 nt
Filed under: Peromyscus maniculatus bairdii (prairie deer mouse)
Lineage: Eukaryota; Metazoa; Chordata; Mammalia; Rodentia; Cricetidae
Source: RNAcentral